CCUUUGGGCAGCAGUCAGAGCUCGGGGCUGCCAGUUCCUUGGACCAGCGAUGCAGGAGGAAGCUCUGAAGCUGGUCUUGCUGGCCUUGGAAGAUGGUUCUGCAUUAUCACGGAAAGUGUUGGUUCUCUUUGUGGUACAAAGACUGGAGCCACGUUUUCCUCAAGCCUCUAAAACCAGCAUUGGACAUGUUGUUCAGCUCCUCUACAGAGCCUCCUGCUUCAAGGUAUGAACCUAAACAUUAAACUUGGACCUUAGUAAAAUUGCCUGUACUUUUCAGAAAAUAUAAUGCUCUAGUUAAAUCCUGGGUUUGUCUUGUUCAGUUUUGUUUUAGACCUCUCUGUUUACAAC
RNAcentral lists this long non-coding RNA (348 nucleotides) under Rattus norvegicus (Norway rat). RNAcentral describes it as "long non-coding RNA NONRATT031893". The record is from RNAcentral. Lineage: Eukaryota; Metazoa; Chordata; Mammalia; Rodentia; Muridae.